Long non-coding RNA from Mobula hypostoma (lesser devil ray), 1945 nucleotides. RefSeq lists it as uncharacterized. The record is from RefSeq and is a predicted model, not a curated record. The transcript has 4 exons. NCBI's taxonomy places the organism in Eukaryota, Metazoa, Chordata, Chondrichthyes, Myliobatiformes, Myliobatidae.
CUGCACCUCUUCCUAGAGAUGCUGCCUGGCCUGCUGCAUUCACCAGCAACUUUUAUGUGUGUUGCUUGAAUUUCCAGCAUCUGCAGAAUUCCUGUUGUUUGCGAUCAAAUGACAGACAAAAGGUUUCCAGUAAAAGAAGCAGUGGGGUUAAUGUUACAAUAAAGGGACGAGCAUAAGAAAAGAUGCAUCAUUGAGGUUUGGAAGCUCGGAGAGGAGGUGAGAGAAAUGGUGUCCUCAAAGAUUGUUAAAUGUUAGCUGUGAAGUGAACCCUGAGUUACUGUCCUGGCAGGCUUGAAAGAAAUCAAUAUGGAGGGAGUGUAAAAUGGAGAUCUUUGAGAACUGAAGAGGUAAACAGUGCUUUCUGUAGUCCUGCUGGGCGUGUCACAAGGACCGUGGUGCUCAGGUUAACAUGCAGUUGGAUAGAAAAUAGAAGAAAUAAGCUAUUCAAGCAUCCCCCGCCAUUCCAAUACAAUCAGGCUGAGCCUCUGUCGCAACACCGUACUCCCACACCUCCUGAGGACAUGUUUAGAAAUCCUAUCAACUAUUUCAAAUCAUAGAAAUAAGCUCUUUGGCCCAACUCAUCCAUGUCAACCUCAGCUAGCCCCAUUUAACCAUAUCAAUCAAAACCUUCCCUACCUAUGUACCUGCCUCAAUGUCUUUUAAACAGUGUAAUUGUACUCACCUCUACCACUUUGCUCUGGCAGUUCCUUCCAUGUACUCACAACGCACCUGUGGAAGAACUUAUUCCUCAAUUCCCAUUCACCCUCCUAAUUUUGGACUCCCCUACCAUGGGAAAAGCACUAACACACUGUAACGUUUCACUGCUAAUGGCUUCUCUGUAAUAUUCCACUGCUGAGGUAAUGGUUUCUCCCUGUAGCAGCAAUGUUUGGGUCAUGACCAGAGAUAAUGGGGCAUGCUAGCCAAUGAGCAGGAUGUUGUUCUUUCUUAUGUGUCUGGGAGGCAGGAAUUAGCAGUGUUUCGCCGGAGAGAGAUGAGCAGAGAAGACGCGAAUGGAAAGUGAUGGACGACCUCAGACGGAGUGGACUUGGAGCGAGGGUCCGAAGAUGCCGUGUGCAAAAUGCUGCCUUUGCCAUCCUGUCUACCCAUUUUUGCCUCUUUCAAGGAACUACAUACUUGCACCUGUUUAGCAGCAUCAUAUGCUCGCAGAUUUGCGGGAGGCCUUGAAUCUACGCCAUUCACUCCUGAAGUUACCACUUGCCCUUCCUGCAUUUGCCACAUUACCCACUGCUGGGACAGAAGGUGUUUUCGCUGUUACGAAGAAAGGCAGCACGUGAUAAAAGGCAGCGUGCGCCCCGAGCAGCCGCUCUGCCCCGGAUUUGGAACGGCAUUGCUUAUGCACGUUGCAUCGAGCAGCCAUUAGCAAGAUGAGUUCUAAGGUGUCGGAAAAGCCUGAAAGAGUAAAGGUGUUACACUUAGCGUAAAACUAGACAUAAUUGUCGGCCCAGAUCAGAGGCAAUGCAAUCGGCAAUCGCCUCUGAUCUGCGCCGGCAUUUAUGUGCCGGGCAGCACCCAAUUAAUUAGCAUGUUUAUUUCGGUUUUUUUGUUAACGAUGUGCUGUGUGCCUCCUGGCUACCGCUGCGUUCUUCGCGGCAAUGUAUCAGGUCGGCGGCCCAUCUAACACACCAUCAUCAGUGAGCUCGGCGCUGUUUUCCCAAUUCCAGUAAGUGAUAAUACACUGUACAUACAUUAUUUCUACUUUAUAUAGGCUGUGUAUUUUUACAUGUUAUUUGGUAGAUUUGGCAGCUUCAUAAUUUAAAGGUUACUGGAGAGCACGUUUAUGCCAACAGUGCUUGCGUGAGAUUUUCUGCCGAGAGCACUUGCGUGAGAUUUUCGCUACGGAGAUCUGUGCAGGCAAUCGUUGUAGAGAAGUAUUUCUACUUUAUAUAGGUUGUGUAUUUAUCAUAUCACUCCUGCUUUUACUAUA